This 316-nucleotide ribosomal RNA is filed under the name uncultured eukaryote. RNAcentral describes it as "partial 18S ribosomal RNA". It matches the Rfam family "Eukaryotic small subunit ribosomal RNA", at positions 1470 to 1796 of the family's 1831-position model. The record is from RNAcentral.
CCCUUAGAUGUUCUGGGCCGCACGCGUGCUACACUGACCGGCGCAACAAGUUUCUUUCCUUGGCUCGAUAGGCCUGGGUAAUCUUUGAACGCCGGUCGUGAUGGGGAUAGACUUUUGCAAUUUUUGGUCUUCAACGAGGAAUUCCUAGUAAACGCAAGUCAUCAACUUGCAUUGAUUACGUUCCUGCCCUUUGUACACACCGCCCGUCGCACCUACCGAUUGAAUGGUCCGGUGAAGCCUCCGGAUUGGCGCGCACCUCGGUGCCGCCGAGAAGUUGGCUAAACCUUACCAUUUAGAGGAAGGUGAAGUCGUAACA